AGUUUCAGUAUUAUCACGCAGUUAAUCGAUUUCACCCAUGACACUGCUUAUCAAUUAUAUCUCGGUAAACAGAUUGACGCUACCUUCAUUGCUUUUUCUAAAGUUUUCGAUUCAUUACUUCAUUCUCACCUCUUGCAAAAAUUAAAUGCGGUACUAAAAAAUUCCCGUCUAGUCAAUUGGAUUGCUAGUUUUCUUUCUAACCAGUCCCAAUACGUCGACUUUAGUUCCUCAAGGUCAUCAAUUCUUGAAGUAGGCUCCGGGGUUCCUCAAGGAUCAGUCCUGGGUCCUUUACUGUUUUUAAUUUAUGUCAAUGACCUCCAAAAAAAUGUUUCUUCCAGCAUUCAUCUUUAUGCUGAUGAUUGCGUCUUAUACGACGUGAUUGACUCUGCGACUAGUUAUAAGCGAUUGAACGAUUCCUUUGUCUCUUUCAGUGCUUGGUGUGAAAAAUGGAAAAUGAACAUUAAUU
Molecule: long non-coding RNA, 466 nt
Filed under: Dermacentor andersoni
Lineage: Eukaryota; Metazoa; Arthropoda; Arachnida; Ixodida; Ixodidae
Description: uncharacterized LOC126544736
Source: RNAcentral